AUGCAGGGAGGGAAAAGUUCAGAAGCAGCUACAGGGGACAAAAGCCCAUUUUUACUAGUUCAACAGGACAGGACAUUCAAUAAACCCAGCCCGCUCUGGAAACGGGUCGGGGCUCCAGUUGGCUCCACAGAGGCAGAAGUAGCCCCUGCCGCCGCCCUCGCCACGGCAGCCGCCGCCGCCGCGGCCCCUGCGUUACUGGGGGAGACGGUGCCGCUGCGACAGGGGAGGACGCGGCUGGAGCUCAAGGAGGCUCCAUCGCGCAGGCGCCGCCGAGCCCUGCCUGGAUGCUCAGUCAAGGCACUAAGGCAAAAAAAAAAUCAGCAAUUUAUAGAAAGAAGAAGCUAUAGUCUGUCGGGAUAUCCAACACCAACAGUAGGGCUUAUUGAGAGCUCCAUUUCUGGAAAGCGUUGCAAGACUGAGGAAUAUCGGACUGCGAAUCACCGGGAACAGUUCCCUUGCAGCACAGAAGCAAUCUCUCUCCCCAUCUUCGCAUAUUCUGAUGGCAAAUCAAGUGAAAGAAAAGAGGAAGCAUGACUGCAGAUCAGAUCCGUUCUCUUUGUGGAUUACAUUUUCAGUAAAAUGGAGCUGAGGCGCUGUUUCAGCACAACCCUUCUUUACUGCAGAAAAUCCAGGUUACCAAGGGAACCUUACUGUGUUAUAUGAAGGAGCAUCUGUAAAUCUUUAGCCUUGUGAAACACUAACCUUCUCUGCUAAGCAAUUGUGGCCUGUAGCCAUUUCUUGAGAAGAAAAUCAAGAAUGGGAUCAGCAGUUAUAAGGAUUUGGGCAACAUUCUGCAGUCUUUGCAAUAGUUCACCUAUAAUCCUAUUUUAAAUCUCAGAGUGAUCCUGCUGACUGCCAGCGAAGGUUUGUAAUUAAGAAAGGACUGAACCACUGCCCUGAGUUUCUUUAUGUGGUUGAAAACUAGAUAAUGAAAGUAGCAGGUGCUAAGUAUCAGUGCUAAAUGCUGUGUAUAUGACUACUUAUGAAAAAACAUCAAAAAAAAACCAAUUAGCAUUGGACAUCUUAAUAAAUUAAGUUGACAUGAGGUAAAUGUGUUGAUAAAAAACUAAUUUUAGAAGUUUGAAGACUAAAACAUUUCAUACUAUUAUUGUUUUGCAAGGACUAAAAUAUUUGGGGACUUAAAGUACUGUAAUUCACUAAAGACAUGCCAUGAAUUAAUUGGAUUAUCACUUUUAAAAAAUCACCUUGUAAGUUUUGGGGAGCAUUCCAAAGCAGUAUAUUGGUUCCAAUUAUAGUUUACUUUUUUGUAUUAAUACAAUACUAUUUCUAAAUACCGCUUUCCUUAUCUACUAGUGAAAUUGCUAGCAUCGAACUAUGUGGUUUUUGUUGAUUUGGUAUAAAGUUUUUUCUAAUUCAUCUAUAUUUUAUGAAUACUAGAUAUUGGUCUGGGAGGCAACAUUAAAGGUACCAACCAGUCACAAUUGAACAGUUCUAAUAAUGCAGAAUAAACACAUGUUGCCUUAAAGGGUUAUCUAGUAUCUUUCAUCUUAUUUAGUAUUGGAGCAAAUUGGAGUCAGGGGAAACUGAAUCAGUAACUGGUCAUGGUCAUGCAUCUGGAAGUGCAUGGACGAUCAUUUAACACUCUUUUUCCUUUUUCCUCACAUGAUUUCAAAAUUAAGGUGCACAUCACUGGAAUAAUGAAAUUUUCUUCUGAGGUGUGCUACCCAUUCUAGUGUGUUCUAAGAAGCAGGCAGUUGAUGUGUGUUUAUAUUUUAAGUCGGCUGUUAAGGGGAGACCACAGCCUUAGUAUGACAUCUUGCACAAUUUGUGAAGCGUUUAUUCUACCGAAGGCACAGUCUUGUUUAUACUUUCUGCACAUUCAGUGUAUUGGUCGUUUAAAUUAUUUCAGUUUUAACUUGUGAAAGCUUAUAAUAUAAUUUCUGGUAUUUUAGAAAUACAUUAGAGUCUGUGAGUCUCAUUCUUU
Long non-coding RNA from Bos grunniens (domestic yak), 1945 nucleotides. The record is from Ensembl. Lineage: Eukaryota; Metazoa; Chordata; Mammalia; Artiodactyla; Bovidae.